UAGUUUGAUUGUUAAUUUAAGAGUUUCACCUGUAGUAUACCAUCUUGUAUUAAUAUCGAUUAAACCCGUCAAUUAUAGGAUUUUCCAGCUUGUAUUAAAAAUUGAAUCACAUAUAAUAUGUUAUUAAUUAUUGUAGUAUAUAAGUUAUAAAUUUUCAAUAUAAUAUGUACGAAAUUGAAUAUAAAUAUUUCAAAUUAUGACCCGUUACUCAGUAGAAAGUUUUCUUAAAUCUAUUUUUCACCCGUUAUAAUAUUUUUUCAUGUAUUGAACAGUUUAUUUUUGUUUUUAAAAAUUCAAAUUAUGGUAUAUGCGAAAAAACUCUAAUUAUUUUUUUAUAAUGAUGAUAUUAUUUUUCCGCAAAAAUAGAAUCAUAUAAAGAUGAGAAGUGAACUAUAAUAAUUAAUAAAAAAUUAAUAUGAUAAUUUAGAUAUCAAAUAUAAUUUGUUGAUUUUAAUUGGUUACUUUUUUGGAAAUUAAUAAUGUAUUUCGUUUUUCUAAUUAAAUUAAAUUAAUUAAAAUUUAGAUAUCAAAUCUUAUAUGUUGAUUUUGAUUGGUUAUUAUUUUUAGAAAUUAAUAAUAAUUUCGGUUUUUAAUA
This 595-nucleotide small RNA is filed under the name Arabidopsis thaliana (thale cress). RNAcentral describes it as "ATSL279150". Lineage: Eukaryota; Viridiplantae; Streptophyta; Magnoliopsida; Brassicales; Brassicaceae. The record is from RNAcentral.